This 460-nucleotide ribosomal RNA is filed under the name uncultured bacterium. RNAcentral's name for it is "partial 16S ribosomal RNA". It matches the Rfam family "Bacterial small subunit ribosomal RNA", at positions 338 to 795 of the family's 1533-position model. The record is from RNAcentral.
CCUACGGGUGGCAGCAGUGAGGAAUAUUGGUCAAUGGGCGCUAGCCUGAACCAGCCAAGUAGCGUGAAGGAUGACUGCCCUAUGGGUUGUAAACUUCUUUUAUAUGGGAAUAAAAUGUUGCAUGUAUACUGUUUUGUAUGUACCUUAUGAAUAAGGAUCGGCUAACUCCGUGCCAGCAGCCGCGGUAAUACGGAGGAUCCGAGCGUUAUCCGGAUUUAUUGGGUUUAAAGGGAGCGUAGGAGGGUUGUUAAGUCAGUUGUGAAAGUUUGCGGCGCAACCGUAAAAUUGCAGUUGACACUGGCAUCAUGGAGUACAGUAGAGGUAGGCGGAAUUCGUGGUGUAGCGGUGAAAUGCUUAGAUAUCACGAAGAACUCCGAUUGCGAAGGCAGCCUGCUGGACUGUAACUGACGCUGAUGCUCGAAAGUGUGGGUAUCAAACAGGAUUAGAUACCCGUGUAGUC